GGGCGUUAAGUUGCAGGGUAUAGACCCGAAACCCGGUGAUCUAGCCAUGGGCAGGUUGAAGGUUGGGUAACACUAACUGGAGGACCGAACCGACUAAUGUUGAAAAAUUAGCGGAUGACCUGUGGCUGGGGGUGAAAGGCCAAUCAAACCGGGAGAUAGCUGGUUCUCCCCGAAAGCUAUUUAGGUAGCGCCUCGUGAAUUCAUCUCCGGGGGUAGAGCACUGUUUCGGCUAGGGGGCCAUCCCGGCUUACCAACCCGAUGCAAACUGCGAAUACCGGAGAAUGUUAUCACGGGAGACACACGGCGGGUGCUAACGUCCGUCGUGAAGAGGGAAACAACCCAGACCGCCAGCUAAGGUCCCAAAGUCAUGGUUAAGUGGGAAACGAUGUGGGAAGGCCCAGACAGCCAGGAUGUUGGCUUAGAAGCAGCCAUCAUUUAAAGAAAGCGUAAUAGCUCACUGGUCGAGUCGGCCUGCGCGGAAGAUGUAACGGGGCUAAACCAUGCACCGAAGCUGCGGCAGCGAACGUAUCACCCAAGACAACUUUACGGAGUUGACGAUUGACGGAGCGAAGCGACGUCAAAGCGUUCAUUAAAGUCGAGUUGGCUUAGGGAUACGUUCGUUGGGUAGGGGAGCGUUCUGUAAGCCUGUGAAGGUGUGUCGUGAGGCAUGCUGGAGGUAUCAGAAGUGCGAAUGCUGACAUAAGUAACGAUAAAGCGGGUGAAAAGCCCGCUCGCCGGAAGACCAAGGGUUCCUGUCCAACGUUAAUCGGGGCAGGGUGAGUCGACCCCUAAGGCGAGGCCGAAAGGCGUAGUCGAUGGGAAACGGGUUAAUAUUCCCGUACUUGGUGUUACUGCGAAGGGGGGACGGAGAAGGCUAUGUUGGCCGGGCGACGGUUGUCCCGGUUUAAGCGUGUAGGUGUGUGUUCCAGGUAAAUCCGGUUCACUUUAACACUGAGGCGUGACGACGAGGCACUACGGUGCUGAAGCAACAAAUGCCCUGCUUCCAGGAAAAGCCUCUAAGCAUCAGGUAACACGAAAUCGUACCCCAAACCGACACAGGUGGUCAGGUAGAGAAUACCAAGGCGCUUGAGAGAACUCGGGUGAAGGAACUAGGCAAAAUGGUGCCGUAACUUCGGGAGAAGGCACGCUGACACGUAGGUGAAGUGAUUUACUCAUGGAGCUGAAGUCAGUCGAAGAUACCAGCUGGCUGCAACUGUUUAUUAAAAACACAGCACUGUGCAAACACGAAAGUGGACGUAUACGGUGUGACGCCUGCCCGGUGCCGGAAGGUUAAUUGAUGGGGUCAGCGUAAGCGAAGCUCCUGAUCGAAGCCCCGGUAAACGGCGGCCGUAACUAUAACGGUCCUAAGGUAGCGAAAUUCCUUGUCGGGUAAGUUCCGACCUGCACGAAUGGCGUAAUGAUGGCCAGGCUGUCUCCACCCGAGACUCAGUGAAAUUGAACUCGCUGUGAAGAUGCAGUGUACCCGCGGCAAGACGGAAAGACCCCGUGAACCUUUACUAUAGCUUGACACUGAACAUUGAGCCUUGAUGUGUAGGAUAGGUGGGAGGCUUUGAAGUGUGGACGCCAGUCUGCAUGGAGCCGACCUUGAAAUACCACCCUUUAAUGUUUGAUGUUCUAACGUGGACCCGUAAUCCGGGUUGCGGACAGUGUCUGGUGGGUAGUUUGACUGGGGCGGUCUCCUCCUAAAGAGUAACGGAGGAGCACGAAGGUUGGCUAAUCCUGGUCGGACAUCAGGAGGUUAGUGCAAUGGCAUAAGCCAGCUUGACUGCGAGCGUGACGGCGCGAGCAGGUGCGAAAGCAGGUCAUAGUGAUCCGGUGGUUCUGAAUGGAAGGGCCAUCGCUCAACGGAUAAAAGGUACUCCGGGGAUAACAGGCUGAUACCGCCCAAGAGUUCAUAUCGACGGCGGUGUUUGGCACCUCGAUGUCGGCUCAUCACAUCCUGGGGCUGAAGUAGGUCCCAAGGGUAUGGCUGUUCGCCAUUUAAAGUGGUACGCGAGCUGGGUUUAGAACGUCGUGAGACAGUUCGGUCCCUAUCUGCCGUGGGCGCUGGAGAACUGAGGGGGGCUGCUCCUAGUACGAGAGGACCGGAGUGGACGCAUCACUGGUGUUCGGGUUGUCAUGCCAAUGGCACUGCCCGGUAGCUAAAUGCGGAAGAGAUAAGUGCUGAAAGCAUCUAAGCACGAAACUUGCCCCGAGAUGAGUUCUCCCUGAGACUUAGAGUCUCCUGAAGGAACGUUGAAGACGACGACGUUGAUAGGCCGGGUGUGUAAGCGCAGCGAUGCGUUGAGCUAACCGGUACUAAUGAACCGUGAGGCUUAACCUUACAACGCCGAAG
This 2356-nucleotide ribosomal RNA is filed under the name Salmonella enterica subsp. enterica serovar Typhimurium. RNAcentral describes it as "bacterial LSU rRNA". It matches the Rfam family "Bacterial large subunit ribosomal RNA", at positions 690 to 2925 of the family's 2925-position model. The record is from RNAcentral. Lineage: Bacteria; Pseudomonadati; Pseudomonadota; Gammaproteobacteria; Enterobacterales; Enterobacteriaceae.